This is a small nuclear RNA of Psammomys obesus (fat sand rat), 186 nucleotides long. RefSeq annotates it as U2 spliceosomal RNA. The record is from RefSeq and is a predicted model, not a curated record. NCBI's taxonomy places the organism in Eukaryota, Metazoa, Chordata, Mammalia, Rodentia, Muridae. The transcript has a single exon.
AUUGCUUCUCGGACUUUUGGCUAAGAUCAAGGGUAGUAUCUGUUCUUAUCAGUUUAAUAUCGGAUACGUUCUCUAAGUCUCCAUUUUGAUUAUAAGAUGUAAUUAAGUUCAAGUUUUCAGGUCCUAUGUGGUCGAGAGCACGAUUCAAUUCAGAAGUUCAAUAUUUGAUGCUUAGAAUAAAACAAU